CACCGGCGGCCCGAGUGGUGAUCGUGAUUAUUGGGUCUAAAGGGUCCGUAGCCGGUUUGGUCAGUCCUCCGGGAAAUCUGAUAGCUCAACUAUUAGGCUUUCGGGGGAUACUGCCAGACUUGGAACCGGGAGAGGUAAGAGGUACUACAGGGGUAGGAGUGAAAUCUUGUAAUCCCUGUGGGACCACCUGUGGCGAAGGCGUCUUACCAGAACGGGUUCGACGGUGAGGGACGAAAGCUGGGGGCACGAACCGG
This 254-nucleotide ribosomal RNA is filed under the name uncultured bacterium. RNAcentral describes it as "partial 16S ribosomal RNA". It matches the Rfam family "Archaeal small subunit ribosomal RNA", at positions 474 to 727 of the family's 1478-position model. The record is from RNAcentral.